GGUCCCUGGUAGGAGACGUUCUGAUGGUUACUCCCGCAUGGUGUCAGCAAUGAGGGGAACUGUGGUGGGGAAUUCAGGUGAGGGCCCGCAGCAAAUUCGGUUACAGCCGCUUUCCCCUUUCAAGCAUGGUGCCUCAGCUGCAGGGACUCCCUCCACCACGGGACCUAACUAGUGAUGGGCACCCUAGCAGCAGCCAGGAGGCACAAGCCAAAGAGAGAAGCAGCUGACAUGUGGUUGAGGAUCAGACAGGACAGGAAAAGUACUUAGAAUAGUCAGCACAAUCUCAUACCUGAAAUGUGACAAGUUUUAAGUGGGCAUAUGACCACCCACUACAGACCCCAUCCUCCCACCUGUCUGGUUUAUGAUUAUGGCCAAUAAGAAUCGAGUCAAAGGAAUGUGUGUCACUUAGAUGAAGCCAUGACAAAAAUAUAAUCCCUU
RNAcentral lists this long non-coding RNA (438 nucleotides) under Homo sapiens (human). RNAcentral's name for it is "HSALNT0060368". Lineage: Eukaryota; Metazoa; Chordata; Mammalia; Primates; Hominidae. The record is from RNAcentral.